AUUGAUUCCCUAAAUAGGCUUGAUCGGACAACCUACAUGCCUCCACGUCUCUCAAGUUGAACGACCUAGACUGAUCGAAGAGAUGUAUUUACCUCUCUUCAGUCGGCUCCUAAAACCUAGCCCACAUCCUGACGGGAGAAAAAGAAGAAAUGCAGCCAUAGAAGAAGAUUAGCUGCUGGAGGGACAACGGCGCCACCGUGUUGGAGAACCAAAACCCGUCGGUAAGCAUAAUUUUUCUUCCUGUUCUCUCUAUUUUCUCAUCAUAGAUCAUUUAGACUAGCUCU
Molecule: long non-coding RNA, 284 nt
Filed under: Carica papaya (papaya)
Lineage: Eukaryota; Viridiplantae; Streptophyta; Magnoliopsida; Brassicales; Caricaceae
Description: long non-coding RNA (CPAP_LNC007820)
Source: RNAcentral